CUACGGGGUGCUGCAGUUUCGAAUCAUUCCCCCUGGACGGAAGUCUGAUGGUGCAACGCCGCGUGGGGGAUGAAGGCCUUAGGGUUGUAAACCCCUGUCGUUAAGGAGCAAACGUUAGGUUCAUAGCCUAACUUGAGUUAACUUGGAGAGGAAGCAGUGGCUAACUCCGGGCCAGCAGCCGCGGUAAUACGGAGACUGCGAGCGUUACUCGGAUUUACUGGGCGUAAAGGGUGCGUAGGCGGCAAUGUGUGUCAGGUGUGAAAUCUUGGGGCUUAACCCCAAAAUUGCGCUUGAAACUGCAUUGCUAGAGUGUCGGAGGGGCAAGCGGAAUUUCGAGUGUAGCAGUGAAAUGCGUAGAUAUUCGAAGGAACGCCAAUGGCGAAGGCAGCUUGCUGGACGAUUACUGACGCUGAGGCACGAAAGCGUGGGGAGCGAAAAGGAUUAGAUACCCGGGUAGUC
RNAcentral lists this ribosomal RNA (459 nucleotides) under uncultured bacterium. RNAcentral describes it as "partial 16S ribosomal RNA". It matches the Rfam family "Bacterial small subunit ribosomal RNA", at positions 339 to 795 of the family's 1533-position model. The record is from RNAcentral.